Prosopis cineraria is the source of this 424-nucleotide long non-coding RNA. RefSeq lists it as uncharacterized. NCBI's taxonomy places the organism in Eukaryota, Viridiplantae, Streptophyta, Magnoliopsida, Fabales, Fabaceae. The record is from RefSeq and is a predicted model, not a curated record. The transcript is spliced from 3 exons.
AUAUGCACUAAACUCGGUGUCGAUGAGAAUUAUGGGUUCUUAUCUCUACUUUUAACCUCCAUUGACAAAGUGAAUCAAAGAGCUUCUUAUAUUGAAAAGAUGAUGUGCAAGCAAAAGAAGACAUGCUGGUUUUUACCAAUUAUUGAGAGUCAUCAUUGGAUGCUUCCUGUCAUUUGCCCGUAUGAAAAUACUAUAUACUGGUUUUGUUCACUGAAAAGGAAAGUAAGCGACGACAUGAAGUCUUUGAUUGAAUUAUCUUUAGCGACAUAUUGGAAAUUAGCAAGAAUGGUUCACAAGAAAAAAAAAUGAAAUCAAGUUUUACCAAUGCAAGUAAGUAUUUUAAAUUUAUUCCUUAAUUAGAAUGAAGAUUAUAAUAUUGGUUUAAUGAAUUUAAUUAUUUCUAUUUUCUUUAUAGUGUCCUCAA